This is a non-coding RNA of Pelobates cultripes (western spadefoot toad), 278 nucleotides long. NCBI's taxonomy places the organism in Eukaryota, Metazoa, Chordata, Amphibia, Anura, Pelobatidae. The record is from the annotation of a GenBank genome assembly.
CCUGAGUGAAAUUUAGUAGCAUGUGCUAGUGUGAAGAUAUUUGGGACAACUGGCCCAGACAGCAGAUAAAGUACACGUUCAGCAGAAAUGUCAAGCUUAGCAUACAAUUAGGUGAAGAAGGGAUGAUUUCUCCUGGCUGUGUGUGAUGUGAGUGUGAGUUAGAUGACCCUCUGUGCACUCAGCCUAUGCCCGUCAUGGGCAGGGUACAAUACCAGGUAAUGGGGUGGAUCAGGAGGCAUAUUGACCCAGACAAAAUCGAUACAGAGUCCAUGUUAUAU